UGCCCUCUCAGUCUGCUCUUUUCUAGACUAAACAGACCCAGCUCCCUCAGUCUCUCCUCACAAGAGAGAUGCUCCAGACCUUGGAUCAUCCACAUUCUACAAUAACUCCUUCUCUUUCUUGAACUUUGGGGACUGGAAUUGAACACAAUACUCUGGAUGUGGUGUCACAAGGGCUGAGUAGAGGGGAAGAAUCACCUCCCUUGACCUGCUGGCCACACGCUUCCUGAUGCACCCCAGGAUACCAUUGGCCCUCCUAGGCACAAGGGCACAGUGCUGGCCAACUUGCCAUCCACUAAGACUCCCAGGUUCUUCUUUACAUAAAAUUGUUUACUUCCUUUUUGGUCUCCAUGAGAAGUACAAGAAAUACAAACACCUCUGUAAAGUAAUAGUUUGCAAGAGAACAGCUUGAAUUAGAAGGAUGGAUCCCAGGGAUCUAUUUUUCUUUAGAAGGCCUUUAAACUAUAAGGUGAAAGAAGAGGUGUGGCUUCAAACCAGCUGAGUUCAACAGUUUCAAAACACAACAGUGCUCUUAAUUCAAUUUUAACCUGGUUCAAGCCAGCAUAAUAUGUAUUAGCCAUGGCCAGGAUGAUUUAUAUAAAGUAUGAACUAAAGAGUGUCUACUCUGUUUGAAAAUACAGGUAGUGACUGCAUUUAUAGUCUGUUUUCAAGACUGAGAUUAAU
Molecule: long non-coding RNA, 681 nt
Organism: Taeniopygia guttata (zebra finch)
Lineage: Eukaryota; Metazoa; Chordata; Aves; Passeriformes; Estrildidae
Source: RefSeq, a predicted model, not a curated record